AACGCACCUUGCGCUCUUUGGUAUUCCGAAGAGCAUGCCUGUUUGAGUGUUGUGCUAUUCAUAAGCCUCGGCUUGAUUUUGGACUUUAUCUUUGCCGGUUCGCCGGCUGGUCCUGAAUGCAUUAGCUUGAACCUUGCUUGCGAUUGGUUUGACUCGGCGUGAUAAGUAUCUUUCGUCGAGGAACGGUCCCUUUACGGGGAUCGGCCAGCUGCUUGUAGGGUUUGCUUUCCAACCGUCUUAGGACACACACUUCAUUGUGGCUUCAGCCUCAAAUCAGGUAGGACUACCCGCUGAACUUAA
RNAcentral lists this ribosomal RNA (300 nucleotides) under uncultured fungus. Its description in RNAcentral is "eukaryotic LSU rRNA". The stretch from base 1 to 52 matches the Rfam family "5.8S ribosomal RNA", at positions 103 to 154 of the family's 154-position model. Lineage: Eukaryota; Fungi. The record is from RNAcentral.